UACGUAGGGUGCGAGCGUUAAUCGGAAUUAUUGGGCGUAAAGGGUGCGUAGGCGGUUUGGUAAGUCUCUUGUGAAAUCUAUGGGCUCAACUCAUAGUCUGCAAGGGAAACUGCCGGGCUUGAGUGUGGGAGAGGUGAGUGGAAUUUCCGGUGUAGCGGUGAAAUGCGUAGAUAUCGGAAGGAACACCUGUGGCGAAAGCGGCUCACUGGACCACAACUGACGCUGAUGCACGAAAGCUAGGGGAGCAAACAGG
RNAcentral lists this ribosomal RNA (253 nucleotides) under uncultured bacterium. RNAcentral's name for it is "partial 16S ribosomal RNA". It matches the Rfam family "Bacterial small subunit ribosomal RNA", at positions 524 to 776 of the family's 1533-position model. The record is from RNAcentral.